This is a small nuclear RNA of Erinaceus europaeus (western European hedgehog), 103 nucleotides long. The record is from Ensembl. NCBI's taxonomy places the organism in Eukaryota, Metazoa, Chordata, Mammalia, Eulipotyphla, Erinaceidae.
AUAAUUUCCCAGCAUCACAUAUACUACAACUGGGACGAUACAGAGAUUAGCAUGGCCCCUGCACGAGGAUUACACACAAAUUCGUGAAGCGUUCCAUAUUUUA